UUCUACUGUAGUAUGUGUUUGAUU
Molecule: small nuclear RNA, 24 nt
Filed under: Arabidopsis thaliana (thale cress)
Lineage: Eukaryota; Viridiplantae; Streptophyta; Magnoliopsida; Brassicales; Brassicaceae
Description: snRNA_01290
Source: RNAcentral